CCAAUAGCGUAUAUUAAAGUUGUUGCAGUUAAAAAGCUCGUAGUUGAACUUCGGGAUUUACCCCUUGGUCAGGCUUAAUUGUCUGUACUGGUGAGCUGAAUCUCUACCUUCUGAGGAACUUUCAUGCCAUUUAUUUGGUGUGAUGGGAAAUCAGGACUGUUACUUUGAAAAAAUUAGAGUGUUUAAAGCAGGCUAACGUCUGAAUACAUUAGCAUGGAAUAAUGAAAUAGGACGGACUGAUUCUAUUUCGUUGGUUUCUAGGAUCACCGUAAUGAUUAAUAGGGAUAGUUGGGGGCAUUAGUAUUCAAUUGUCAGAGGUGAAAUUCUUGGAUUUAUUGAAGACUAACUACUGCGAAAGCAUUUGCCAAGGAUGUUUUCAUUAAUCAAGAACGAAAGUUAGGGGAUCGGAGACGAUCAGAUACCGUCGUAGUCUUAACCAUAAACUAUGCCGACUAGGGAUCGGACGAAGUUAAUUUUAUAAUGACGCGUUCGGCACCUUACG
Molecule: ribosomal RNA, 502 nt
Filed under: uncultured Glomeromycotina
Lineage: Eukaryota; Fungi; Glomeromycota
Description: partial small subunit ribosomal RNA
Rfam family: Eukaryotic small subunit ribosomal RNA
Source: RNAcentral